This 474-nucleotide long non-coding RNA is filed under the name Vombatus ursinus (common wombat). Its description in RNAcentral is "lncRNA (ENSVURG00010001737.1)". Lineage: Eukaryota; Metazoa; Chordata; Mammalia; Diprotodontia; Vombatidae. The record is from RNAcentral.
CCUUCACCUUUAAGACAGUUUACAAAGCUGCUCCCUGCAAGCCAAUACAGAGGGCCUUUUGCUCACAUCCUGGAAAGAAAGUAAAGGCUGAGACCCUGCUGCACAGACUGCUCCCUGGCAAAGGAAGAAGGGGAAAUGAAAGUGGAAAUGGAGUGAAGGGGAAAAAAUCAGGCAAGAGCAGUGAUGAGCAUUCUGGGCAUGGAGGAGCUAGACAGGCAUGACCUGGAGACAUCUGAAGAAGAUCUAGAUCAAGACUUAGGUUCAUAGCAAUAGUUCAGCAACAAGAAACUCUGAAGAGGUAAGAGUUCAACAGCUUUAGGGCACUAAGCUUUACUCCUCUACCUGAAGGUAGCUGCCCUAUUAAAUUGUAGAGCAAAACAGGAGACGCAUCUCCCUCACUGAACAUGAUGAGGUACACUGCCCUUGUAAGAGGCUGUAGACAGCAGGAAUAAAAUCUUGGCAAGAGGUAUAGCA